AAUUGCUAGUAAUGGCAGGUCAGCAUACUGCCGUGAAUACGUUCCCGGGCCUUGUACACACCGCCCGUCACACCAUGAGAGUUGGGAAUACCCGAAGCCUGUGAGCCAACUUUUAAAGAGGCAACAGUCGAAGGUAGAAUCAAUGAUUGAGGUGAAGUCGUAACAAGGUACC
Molecule: ribosomal RNA, 172 nt
Filed under: uncultured bacterium
Lineage: Bacteria
Description: partial 16S ribosomal RNA
Rfam family: Bacterial small subunit ribosomal RNA
Source: RNAcentral